This 278-nucleotide long non-coding RNA is filed under the name Elaeis guineensis (African oil palm). Its description in RNAcentral is "long non-coding RNA (EGUI_LNC054227)". Lineage: Eukaryota; Viridiplantae; Streptophyta; Magnoliopsida; Arecales; Arecaceae. The record is from RNAcentral.
UUACUAUUUCGAUAGCUGCAAAAUCAUCAUUGGGCUGUCAUUUCAAUAAGAUAAUUUGGCACCCAAGACAUCUGGAUGAUUUGAUUCUGACUAGUAGAUCUUGACCACGUGUCCAAACACCAUUAAGUUGGAAUCAUUCAUGCAGAUAAUGGUGAGAUGGCGCGAUCAAGAGUAGAUGCAUCAAACCAUCUGACCAAUAGUCGGUCUGGAUGUUGCUACAUGUCGUUAUCUGAUGAGAUUCAGAUUUGACUGAUUUCAUUCGGAUCGUUGAGGGAUCG